This 148-nucleotide unclassified non-coding RNA is filed under the name uncultured Pleosporales. RNAcentral's name for it is "sequence contains ITS2". The record is from RNAcentral. Lineage: Eukaryota; Fungi; Ascomycota; Dothideomycetes; Pleosporales.
GUACCCUCAAGCUUUGCUUGGUGUUGGGCGUCUUGUCUUGUAUUAGACUCGCCUUAAAGUCAUUUGGCAGCCAGUGUUUUUGGUAGUAAGCGCAGCACAUUUUGCGUCUUAGUCCUUGAAUCGUGGCAUCCAUGAAGCCUUUUUUCAC